CUGCUUGUUUCGGUAGCCCGUAUACUAAAAUAGGAACAAUGCAGAGAAGAUUAGCACAGCCCCCGCGCAAGGCUGACACAUAAAUUCGUGAAGCAUUAGAGACAAAA
This 107-nucleotide small nuclear RNA is filed under the name Colobus angolensis palliatus. The record is from RNAcentral. Lineage: Eukaryota; Metazoa; Chordata; Mammalia; Primates; Cercopithecidae.